Molecule: long non-coding RNA, 221 nt
Filed under: Lathyrus oleraceus (garden pea)
Lineage: Eukaryota; Viridiplantae; Streptophyta; Magnoliopsida; Fabales; Fabaceae
Description: Pisum sativum (pea) long non-coding RNA (PSAT_LNC001044)
Source: RNAcentral
UUGGUGAUGGGUCGAAAAUGGAUGGGUGUUUUGAAGUGUGGGCGACAUCGUUUAAGGUUCAAUGGUGAUUUGGUGAAAUGGUUAUUUUGUUUGUGUUGGUGUGGUGGUGGUUUUAUGAUUUUUCUCCCAAAAAAACCAAUAGUCUCUUGUUGAAUUCUUCUGUUAUAUAGAGAUGAUGUGGAAUGAGGAAAGAUAAAAAAGAUGCUCAAAAUUGUUUUGUU